This 589-nucleotide ribosomal RNA is filed under the name uncultured bacterium. RNAcentral describes it as "bacterial SSU rRNA". It matches the Rfam family "Bacterial small subunit ribosomal RNA", at positions 335 to 919 of the family's 1533-position model. The record is from RNAcentral.
AUUCCUACGGGAGGCAGCAGCUAAGAAUAUUCCGCAAUGGACGAAAGUCUGACGGAGCGACGCCGCGUGGAUGAAGAAGGCCGAAAGGUUGUAAAGUUCUUUUGUUGGGGAAGAAUAACCAUGGGAGGGAAUGCCCGUGGGAUGACAUGAACCGACGAAUAAGCCCCGGCUAACUACGUGCCAGCAGCCGCGGUAACACGUAGGGGGCGAGCGUUGUUCGGAAUUACUGGGCGUAAAGGGCAUGUAGGCGGUCUUGCAAGCUUGGCGUGAAAGACCACGGCUCAACCGUGGGAUUGCGUUGAGAACUGCGAGGCUUGAGUGACGGAGAGGGAGCUAGAAUUCCUGGUGUAGGGGUGGAAUCUGUAGAGAUCAGGAAGAAUACCAAUGGCGAAGGCAAGCUCCUGGCCGAUGACUGACGCUGAGGUGCUAAAGUGUGGGGAUCAAACAGGAUUAGAUACCCUGGUAGUCCACACUGUAAACGAUGUGCACUAGGUGCUGGUACGGAUGUAUCAGUGCCGUAGCUAACGUGAUAAGUGCACCGCCUGGGGAGUAUGCUCGCAAGGGUGAAACUCAAAGGAAUUGACGGAAU